CUUUCGCCCUUUCCAUCCAUGGUCGAUGCGGCCGACUCGGUGGUGGCGCGCCAUUAGCCCACGGGAGAAGUUCUCACUGUGCGGCGCACUACAGCCACGCGCGCCGUCGCCGCGGAGACGCAAUCCUCCUCACUUUCCCCUCACCGUCCUCUCAUCUACGCCUCGUUCUGCUCGUCGCUCCGCUGCAGAUCCGUUGUCCUCCGCAUCCUCCGCGCGCCUUGUGCCAUCGCCGGUGGCCGGCCUUACCCCAUGCCGUCGAUCUGCCACGGAUUCGGUUAAGGUAGUGGCUUGGCCACCUUUGCCUGUGCGGAUCCGUCGCCGGUGCUUCGCCGGUUCGUCCGCUCGCUGGGAUUGCCGCGCGUGGUGGCCACGGCUGCUUCGGCUCGUCUGGUGGUCAGUUGGUUCCGUCGUGAGCACGCCCUGUCCUGCUCUUUCCUGCUAAUAUGUUCCUCUGUGCUUGAAGCUACCUUUGGAAUUACACCCGUACUUUCCUAUGGUCCUGCUAUUAUUGCGUUCUAAAUCUGUCAGCCCUAGAUUCUGUCGCCAGUAAAACUUGCUUAGUUAGUAGAUUAGUUGUUGUUGGUCCAUCAGAUCCCCUCGGGGUGCCAUCGGUUCUUGCUUCCUUUAUGGUUACUGUGUCUUGUCUUCCCUCACUGUGUCACACAAUGCAUCACUCCAUUGUUCAUUACAAAAGGUUUGUACCGGCCACGUUUUUAGCCGUCCCAAGGUUUGCAGUUCCAUUUUCUGUGGUACUACUGCAAACGUUGUCUUUUACAGUGAAACAGGGAAACACUGUAUUUUUUUUGGUAAGAGGUGAAGAAACAACAAAGGGAUAAAGACCUAUAGAGUGUUGUGGUCUAAAUAUCAGGAGAGAGAACAUAAUUAUUUACAAACUCUGAUGAGUUGUUGGUUAUUUGGUUUAGGUUACAUAAUAGAUAACAGGUCGAAAUGGGAACAUCUUAAGAAGGAAAAUAGGAUGGAAAUAGAGUUGCAACUGUUGUAUUUUACACUUUUACAGUAAAGCAAAACACUUUUUUUGUGAGAGCUGAAAAAACAGCAAUAGGGUAAAUACCAGGAGAGUGCUAUAAUCUGAAUAUUAGUGGAAAGAACAUAAUUAUUCGCAAGCUUAUUAGGGGAGAGAACAUAAUUAUUCACAAACUCUGAUUAUUGUUUGUGUCUGGUUGUUGAUUAUUUGGUUUAGGUUACAUAAUAGAGAACAAGUCGAAAUGGGAACAGCUUAAGAAGGAAAAUAGGAUGGAAAUAGAGCUGCAACUGUUGUUUUUUACAGUGAACCAAAACACUUCUGUUUUGAGAGUUGAAAAAACAGCAAUAGCGUAAAUACCUGGAGAGUGUUAUAAUCUAAAUAUCAGUGGAAAGAACAUAAUUAUUCGCAAGCUCUGAUUAGUGUUUGUCUUAUGGGUUGUUGCUUAUUUGAUUUAAAUAUCAGUGGAAACAACAUAAUUAUUCAACCUCUGAUUUGUGCUUGUCUUCUGGGUUGUUGCUUAUUUGGUUUAGGUUACAUAAUAGAGAACAAAUCAAAAUGGGAACAGCUUUAUGGACCAAAAAUGAAAGUAGGAAUCAUACACAAACGCACACCCUGCCAGGAGCCAUGCUUGGUAGCCAAACAUGUGAUCUGUAGGAAUACCGUCCUUGCAGUUUCUGUAGUCCGGUCGCGUGGUGUUUCGUCCCCUGUUAGUGCCGCUGGUUGUGUACAUCCUCUUAAUGAAGCGGUCUGUUCUCAGCUGAUAUGUAAUCAGCUCAUCUCUUAUGUCUGUAACAUGUAGCGUUUUCCCCCCUAGGUUCAUUAUUCCAGGGAUUAAACAUUUGUUAAUUAUGUGUAAGAGAAUUCUUUAUUACCUCUAUGUCGUCUCUAUGUUAAUGCGCAUGUGCUCCUUCUCUUUUUUUGGGUUGUUCCAAGUCACCCUCUUCAAAAAAAUUCUUCUGCUAUGCUACUGACCACCCAAGACCUACACGAUCCCGGAUCGCCAGGUUCAUCGACAUCAACCAGUAACCAGCUCCGAACCCUUACUCAGGUACUUCCUUAGAGUAUGUUGGUUGAUUCUUACGGCGUUCUUACCGUGCCUAUCUAUUACCUGAUUCUCCUGUUAGUCCUCACGAUCUACAUCAGCUAUAUUAAGAACCAAAUACAGUUAUACUAGCUACACAUAUGUUUUUUGUUCUUACAGGUGUAGAACAGCCUACACAAAUAAUUUAGAUAAUUAUUAUAAAGGUGCAGUUACCUCUCGGUGUCUGUCCAAAGUACGUUCAUACAUGAUAGACUUACAUAGCUUGCACAUAGCACAUGUAUAUGCUCUGUUUCUUUUACCUGGAACCUACGAUACUAUUUCUUUAGGUCAUAACAUCUUCAGACUUACUUGGAGUAUUUACACGAAUGUUUGCUCAUGUGGGAAAACCCAAGGAUAAUCAGAAUUCCUUUUAGAAUAUUACUAAAUAUAAUGCUAGAAAAGCUUGGCGUUUCAAAAGCUGAAUACCAUCUUCAUCUAUGCGAAGAUAACAAGGUCCGUGUCACUUUUAUGUUUAACAUGGCUACGCUACCAAUGGAAGGUGCUCCUGUAUAUCUCUCGAUGUCUGGAAUAGAGUCCGAAAGUUAUGAAAUAGCGGAAGAUUCUGCGUGUGUUCAAGCCAUAACAUAUGUUGAGGAAGCAACCAACACAAUCAUCAAGGAUUUAGGCUGCAGCCGGCUGGUAGAAGCUAAAGAGGAAAACAAGAUCCUGUUACAUAAGCUAAAAAAAGGCGCACGAAUACAAGAAACAACUUGCUAGGGGUUGGUUUCUUUCUGUGAGGCAUAUGGCUUCAUUCUCUAAACAAGUGCUCAAUAUUGCUUACCUUAACUAUUCUGGUGGACAAGAUUCUGUUGACACGGUUUGGAACAAUCUGCUAACCAACUUUGAAGACUUAGGCUUUAGACUUAGACAUGCAGGCGCUGUCCUCGAAAAACGCCUGGAGCAAAUGAGGAAGGACCACUUUUCUUAGAUAAUAAUGCAAGGUACACAAUUUUUUACUAUUACCAUUCAGAGUAUAUUGUUGCUACUGCUGCCAUCUGCUUUAUUUACCUCCUAAAUUACAUAUUAUUUUUAGUGUAUGCAUUAACCAAGAACACUAUAUUCAAGCUUCGGAUAUCUUAAUUCAGACCUUCUGUGAAGAUAGUUUCCUUUCAUUUGUUGCAUAUUUUCUAGAUCAAAUGAUCCUGCACCCCUUAUAUACACAUUACUCUGAUUGGUUGUAACUUGCAUACUUUCCUGAUUCCUUACUAUCAAUACCUUGCAUUUCUUCUUUUCCUUCUUUUCCUAUGCCUGCUUCUGUUCUUUUUGUAUAUCAAAGUGCUAAGAUAAUUUACGAGCUUCAGAUAUAAUAGGACAGUAGUACAGAUGGAUAUAUAUAUAUGUUAUUCUCCUUUUUAUGUGCUCAUGGUAAUCAUCGGCUCCUCCUUCUGUGUUCAAUUGUGGAUCUUCUCUCUGUUUUGAGACAUUCUCCAUGGAUUCUUUGUGUAUGGUUACAUAUACACGUUACUCUGAUUCUCUCUGUUUGGAGAGAUUCUCCAUGGAUUCUGUGUGUUCAAUUAAAACACUAUUAGUACCAGAUUGCAUAUUACCUGUGUUUAUGUACCUAUAUUACCGCCGUUAUUUGUUGUAUUGAAUUUCUAUUUUGACCACUGGUAAUCAAGAAGCAUAUAGAAUCCACUGGUAAUCAAGAAGCAUCUAAAUAGUGGUACUGGCUGGAGAAUGCCAUAACUCGGACCAUUAUCGCAAGAACUUGAGUUUCAAACUCUGAAUAUGCUUCAGAGUGCUCUGAAAAAAAGAUAUUAACCUGUUUGGUUCUAUGUUCUAACCAUUCUAUAUUGCUUACCAUCAACUCGGACCUAACGUUGAUUGUUCCGUGAAUUACUUUUCAGGAAAGUUGUCUAAUAGGUAACACGGGACACCGAUAGUUGUUCUCUUCCAGCAAUCUAGGUGCUGUAGAAUCUUAGCGUUCUACUCUUCUCUUUUGCUAUGUAUUGUACAUAUGAAUCAACCGUACGAUGCAAUGGUUGUCUUCUGCAUCUCUUCUAGGUAGUGGCUCGACCCUUUCGUGCCCUUCGUUCUGUACGACUGCUAUUGCUUCAUGCUGCUAUCUCCGUUCCUAUUUUUACUUCUUUGUACUUUCUACUAGCUGCCAUACUUGGUUUGGAGAAAAGACUUUGUACUGAAAUGGAUUAUCAUAUUGGCAGCUAUUUAGUGCACAGUCAUGGUCUCUGUGUAUUUGGUC
Long non-coding RNA from Lolium perenne, 4266 nucleotides. RefSeq lists it as uncharacterized. The record is from RefSeq and is a predicted model, not a curated record. Lineage: Eukaryota; Viridiplantae; Streptophyta; Magnoliopsida; Poales; Poaceae.